GUCCUUUUGUAAAUAAUUUAAGGUCUAACCUGCCCACUGAAAAUUUAAAUGGCCGUGGUAUUUUGACCGUGCUAAGGUAGCAUAAUCAUUAGUUUUUUAAUUAAAAACUGGAAUGAAAGGUUGAAUAAGAAAAUGACUGUCUCUGUUAAAUUAUUAAAAUUUUAUUUUUAAGUUAAAAAGCUUAAUUGAAUUUAAAAGACGAGAAGACCCUAUAGAGUUUAAUUAUUAAAUAAAAAUUAUAUUUUAGUAUUUAUUUAUAUAUUUUAUUUAAUAAUUUAAUUGGGGUGAUUGAAAAAUUUAAUAAACUUUUUUUUAUUUUUUAACAUAAAUUUAUGAAUAAAUGAUCCAAUAUUUUUGAUUAUAAGAUAAAAUUACCUUAGGGAUAACAGCGUAAUUUUUUUAUAGAGUUCAUAUUAAAAGAAAAGAUUGCGACCUCGAUGUUGGAUUAAAAUGAAUUUUUGGUGUAGAAGCUAAAAUAUUGGGUCUGUUCGACCUUUAAAAUUUUAC
This 507-nucleotide ribosomal RNA is filed under the name Chrysolina petitpierrei. RNAcentral's name for it is "partial 16S ribosomal RNA". The stretch from base 382 to 507 matches the Rfam family "Bacterial large subunit ribosomal RNA", at positions 2473 to 2599 of the family's 2925-position model. Lineage: Eukaryota; Metazoa; Arthropoda; Insecta; Coleoptera; Chrysomelidae. The record is from RNAcentral.